RNAcentral lists this small RNA (104 nucleotides) under Marmota monax (woodchuck). The record is from RNAcentral. Lineage: Eukaryota; Metazoa; Chordata; Mammalia; Rodentia; Sciuridae.
GCUGGAUGUGGUGGAGCACACCUGUAAUCCCAGUUGCUUGGGAGGCUGACGCAGGAGGAUCACAAGUUUGAGGCCAGCCUCAGCAACUUAGCAAACCCUGUCUU